AGGCCUCCUCGAAGGGGAAACAACCCAAGAAGAUGAAGAUAGCUCUUGCUAAGCCUACACCUCCUAAAUAGUAUGUGAUCAGGAGUCAACAUUUUUUCAGUUUGUUUACUAACUCUUAACCACAUGUUCAUUCUUGCAGGGUUCCAUACUUGCUGACCACUGGGAGCAUGGCCAAACACUAAGUGGUAGAUGGCCCAAGGCCAAUGACCAGGAGUCAGGCUACCUCAUAGCUGACAUCUAGUCUAUGUGCUUGCACUAGGAUCAAGAGGGCCCUACAGGACCUAUAGGCACUGCAAGAAACACAACAAGAGA
Molecule: long non-coding RNA, 312 nt
Filed under: Sorghum bicolor (sorghum)
Lineage: Eukaryota; Viridiplantae; Streptophyta; Magnoliopsida; Poales; Poaceae
Description: long non-coding RNA (SBIC_LNC018300)
Source: RNAcentral